Molecule: ribosomal RNA, 497 nt
Filed under: uncultured bacterium
Lineage: Bacteria
Description: partial 16S ribosomal RNA
Rfam family: Bacterial small subunit ribosomal RNA
Source: RNAcentral
GAUGAACGCUGGCGGCGUGCCUAAUACAUGCAAGUCGAGCGAACGGACGAGAAGCUUGCUUUUCUGAUGUUAGCGGCGGACGGGUGAGUAACACGUGGAUAACCUACCUAUAAGACUGGGAUAACUUCGGGAAACCGGAGCUAAUACCGGAUAAUAUUUUGAACCGCAUGGUUCACAAGCUAAAGACGGUCUUGCUGUCACUUAUAGAUGGAUCCGCGCUGCAUUAGCUAGUUGUUAAGGUAACGGCUUACCAAGGCAACGAUGCAUAGCCGGCCUGAGAGGAUGAGCGGCCACAAGGGAACUGAGACACGGUCCAGACUCCUACGGGAGGCAGCAGUAGGGAAUCUUCCGCAAUGGGCGAAAGCCUGACGGAGCAACGCCACGUGAGUGAUGAAGGUCUUCGGAUCGUAAAACUCUGUUAUUAGGGAGGAAAAUAUGUGUAAGUAACUGUGCACAACUUGACGGUACCUAAUCAGAAAGCCACGGCUAACUACGUG